RNAcentral lists this ribosomal RNA (489 nucleotides) under uncultured bacterium. Its description in RNAcentral is "partial 16S ribosomal RNA". It matches the Rfam family "Bacterial small subunit ribosomal RNA", at positions 355 to 836 of the family's 1533-position model. The record is from RNAcentral.
UAGGGAAUCUUCCACAAUGGACGAAAGUCUGAUGGAGCAACGCCGCGUGAGUGAUGAAGGGUUUCGGCUUGUAAAACUCUGUUGUUGGAGAAGAACGGGUGUCAGAGUAACUGUUGACAUCGUGACGGUAUCCAACCAGAAAGCCACGGCUAACUACGUGCCAGCAGCCGCGGUAAUACGUAGGUGGCAAGCGUUGUCCGGAUUUAUUGGGCGUAAAGCGAGCGCAGGCGGUUUUUUAGGUCUGAUGUGAAAGCCUUCGGCUUAACCGGAGAAGUGCAUCGGAAACCGGGAGACUUGAGUGCAGAAGAGGACAGUGGAACUCCAUGUGUAGCGGUGAAAUGCGUAGAUAUAUGGAAGAACACCAGUGGCGAAGGCGGCUGUCUGGUCUGCAACUGACGCUGAGGCUCGAAAGCAUGGGUAGCGAACAGGAUUAGAUACCCUGGUAGUCCAUGCCAUAAACGAUGAGUGCUAAGUGUUGGAGGGUUUUCC